RNAcentral lists this small RNA (50 nucleotides) under Burkholderia pseudomallei K96243. RNAcentral describes it as "mini-ykkC.2008-01-16 RNA". The record is from RNAcentral. Lineage: Bacteria; Pseudomonadati; Pseudomonadota; Betaproteobacteria; Burkholderiales; Burkholderiaceae.
CGUGUUGAACGGCGACGACGCCGUCGACGCGAUUCUGACGGGACGCCCCG